Molecule: long non-coding RNA, 304 nt
Organism: Passer domesticus (house sparrow)
Lineage: Eukaryota; Metazoa; Chordata; Aves; Passeriformes; Passeridae
Exons: 3
Source: RefSeq, a predicted model, not a curated record
AUUCAUCAGCUGUGUCAUCUCACACAGGUCCAGGCUCCCUCCUGAGCAGUGGAAGGGUCCUAUGGGAGGAACAGAAUUGUCUCCUGUUUUGGAGGAUGCUGGAUUCCCUGGCAGCAGGUGAUAGAGGAAGAGAUGGAUGGAGAGCUUGAGGACAGCUGCAAAAGCUGAGUGUCAGCCCCUGGCCAGCUUUGUCCCUCAGCCCUGGGAUUACCUGAGUGCAGGCAGCCCCAGCAGUGAGGCAUUUUCUGAUGAAGGCAAAACACUGGAGGAUCCAGAGACACUCAAUAACCAUGCAGUAUGUGAG